CAGCCAUCGAUGAGGAGCAAAGGCAAGGAAACAUGGGACAGGAUGUCAUUGCAGUACAAGUAACUGUGCCUGAACACUGUGAGCAGAGGGGAGAGAACUCAACUGCCAUUGUGGCAGUGGAAAACAUCAUUGUAUAUCCUUGCAUUGUGUCGAAUAGUACUUCUUUUUAUCUGUGCUGAUCCUUCUCCCAAUCAAUUUCACUAGAGGACCCCUUUCUAUUAUUAAAUGAGAAAUGGAUGUGGGGGGGGGAUCUCUGCUCAUUUUCUCCACAGCAUUCAUGAUUCUCUCAGCCUCUCUUAUGCCCUCCAUUGUUUAAAGUUUUUUUAACAAAGGGGGGAAACAGCUCCAAAUGCUUUCGAUGAAUCCAAAACCACGUAAAUCACAAGGCGCUGGUAAUUAGCCCAUGCUAAUGACACUGUAGUUAAGACUGUUUGAAUAUUUUCAUUAUAAUGCCUACCCCCUUUUUCGUCGGAAAUGAAAAGACUGGAGAUAAAUAUUGGUUGUUGUUCACAUGAAGAAAAUUUGCAUGCAAAGGACCAGAACCACACUCAGUCUCUCUGGUUUUAAUCACAGUCAUUGAAAUCACUGCUAAAAACGAGAGCAAGGAAAAAAUCACCUCGACAUCUUAGGCUUCAUUUUAACUACCGUAUUUUUCACACUAUAACACGCAUCCGACCAUAACACGCACGUAGUUUUUAGAGGAGGAAAACAAGAAAAAAAAUAUUCUAAACGAAACAGUGGAUGUAUGAUUUUUGUAGUUCAUGCUGUGGCCACAGACAUGUGAUCUGACAGGGAGUUUGGAGUAGCCCAAUGCAAAAAUCCUGAGGAUCCAUGUGGAUCCAUGCUUUGUAAACACGUUUUGUACCACUGAGGCCCCAGGCAACAGUUGGUGCAUGAUUUUUUUGGUGCAAGAUGUAGCCAUGGACAUGCUAUGUGAUCUGAUGGUGAAUUUGGGGUGACCCAGUGCAAAAAUCCUGAGGAUCCAUGUGGAUCCAUGCUUUGUAACCACGUUUUAAGUGGGGAGGGAAGGAAAAGCACUCAAGGGACAAGGAGCACGCGUGGGGUGUGUGGAGAAGGAUGCUGCUAAUAAUGCAGAAGAGGGGUAUAAGAGGAGAAGGCUCCUCUCCUCUCCCACUUUGCUCCUUUAAAGAAGCAGGCUCUCUGUCCCCCUCUCCUCCCCACUCAGCGGCUCUUCUCCCGGCUCUUCUCCCGCUUUGCCGUUUCAAAGCGAGCCACAGAGGAGGGAAGGAAGGGGAACCAUGGAUCCUCUGCUCACGACUGCAGCAGAUCCCCCCCCGCCACCCGUAGGCAUUCCCUCCAUAACACGCACAGACAUUUCCCCUUACUUUCUAGGACGAAAAAAGUGAGUGUUACGGUGCAAAAAAUACGAUAGUUUUUUAAUGCAGUUUUCAAUACAGCUGAAAGAAAUAGCUAUAGAGAAGCAGUAACGAUUGUCCGCCCCUCUUUCUUGGUGAAAACAGAGCAAGAGACUGAGAGUCGCUUCAUGCAUUAUGUUUUUGGCGCACACCUUAAAACAUAAGCAUACUUCUUUAAAAAGUGAGUAUGACAAAAACAUGGGCUUUAUACAGAUUCCACACCUUAAAGAGUCGUUAUUUGCUGCUGCUUCCUUGAUGAGUUCAAGAUGCUUUUCUGCAAAAACAUGUGAAAUGGAUAGCUAUAUUUCCUUGUUUGUGGGAUCCAAAGAGAGGAAACAAAAGAGCAGAGAAUAGCAAAUGAAAGCUUUGUUUCUUUUGUACACCAAUAAAAUGGUUGACAUGGAAGUCAGUGUGGUUAAUUCAAGUCAAUAGAAAGCUGCACUAGACCUACAGAGACCCAGAGAUUCAAGUAUCUUCUCAGCCAUGAAGCUCAGCUGAGGUGACUUUGGCCCAGUCAGUUUCCCUCAGCCAAAUUCACCUCACAGUUAUUUUGAGGACACAUUAUGAAACUCUAAGGGGACAGGAGGGCAGGAAACACCUCAUAAACAACCCUGAGCAGCUUGGAGGGUGGGCAGAAUAAAUAUUGUAAUAAUUAAAUGACCAAAGGAAGGAAAUGUGAUUGUUUUCUGUAAUGGAACAGAUCUUAUGUAAUGCAGGUUAUAGUAUGAAGAGGAAUUUCUCUCUCAGCAACUUAUGUGCUGCAGGCAAAACAAUAUAUCCUUUUUCCUAUGUUAUUGAGUGCUAAGUCUUUUCUGCCUUAACCACUUGGCAAGUUCACCAUCUGUAUGAAAUAAUCUGUGGCAGGUGACCUCCAAUAGGAAAAUCCUUGCAGCUAGAGCUGCUUUUUAAGGAGCAGCUUGUCUCAGACCCUCCAAGUGCCCCUAUUUUCCAGGGACAUCCCUAAUGUCUACAAGCUGUCCCAGUUUCCGAUUUGAUCCCAGAAUGUCCCACUUUUCCUUAGUAAGUCCCUAUUUUCAUUGGAGGGUUUGGUAGAAUGUCCCUAUUUUCAUUGGGAAAAUGUUGGAGGGUAUAUGGUGUUAUCUGCCAACUGAAGGCAGUCUUGUAUAGGGAAGUUUUUUUAAAAAAAUGUUUAAUGUUUUAUUGUGUUUUAUAUAUCUUGGAAGCUACCCAGAGUGGCUGGGGCAACCCAGUCAGAUGGGCAGUUAUCAGCCUGAUGGUGCCUCAGGUAGUUCCACUUGGAGAUCUCUUCUUACGAAGGUUUUGAUCUGAUGCACGGUUGCCCAUAGGAAUGCAUUGAAAAUCAAUUAAUGCGGUCCUUGGGAAACCUUCAGACAGGUCAGGGACAGUCUGUCCCGGACCUCUCUGAAAGCUGGGGAGCAUGGGCUUUCUUCCCACCCCCAGCAUUUUAAAAACCCGGGACAGCGGGGACUUCUCACUGUCAGCAUUAAAUGCUGGCAUUGGGCGGCAUUUAAAAAAUCACCCCGGGACAUGGCGGAGGACUUCUCCGCUGUCAGGAAUUAAAGCCCUGGGAAGGCAGGCAGGGGAACAAGCUUUGCCCCGCCCAGCCUUCAGAAGAGGUCUGGACCCUCUUCUGAAGGCGGCGGCCAAUGCUCCCCGCAGCCUAACCCUCGGGACGGGCGGGCAGGGGAGCAGGCUCGCCCCCGCCCGCCUCAGAAGGUCUUCCACCUCCCCAUGCCCGGCCGGGCACCGUUCAGAAGCCGGGAGGCGGUCUUCCCUCCCCCCCGCCCGGCCGGGCACCGUUCCCGAAGCCGGGCGCUUUGGCAGUGUUCCCUCCCCGCCCGGCCGGGCUGCGUUCCCGGCCGGGCGGCAGAGGGUCUUCCCCUCCCCACCGCCCGGCCGGGCACCGUUCGAAGCCCGGGUGGCCAGCAGUGUUCCCUCCCCCGCCCGGCCCGGGCACCGUUCCCGAAGCCGGGCGGCAGGUGUUCCCUCCCCGCCCGGCGGAGGAGCCUUCCGGCCCGGCGGCGGCGGGAAGGAGGUGUCCCCGCCCCGCCGCCAGGCGGAGGGAGGUCCGAGGACAGUGAGAGGGCACUGCUUCCCCGCUGGCUACGUUUCCUGAGGCUGUAAGGCCCUUAGAAGUCGUUUCUGGCGCCUCAAAAUGAAACCCUUUCGUCUAGCGGGUUUCCGUCUUCUGUCGUCUGCGAAUUACACUGUAGUAAAAUUAUCCUUAUGGAAUGGAAAGUCCCUGUUUUUAUCGGAGAAAUGUUGGAGGAUAUGUUGUCUUCCAUGCCUCUACAUCAUAGUUUUCAGAUUUUAAGUUCAAGGUUCCUGUUCCAAGUGCUGUUUAUUUGUUUUCAUGUUCAGAACAAGGUAUGGUGGGACCUGAGGUCAGCUCAGGUGCCCCUGCUGCCCCUCUUCGCCCUUCCCUCCCUUGCUUGUCCCACGCCAUCCUGCUCUGCAACCUCACUCUCACUCCUGCUCCUGCCAACCUAGCAGUUUGAAAGCACGUCAAAGUGCAAGUAGAUAAAUAGGUACCGCUCCGGCGGGAAGGUAAAUGGCGUUUCUGUGUGCUGCUCUGGUUUGCCAGAAGCGGCUUAGUCAUGCUGGUCACAUGACCCAGAAGCUGUACGCCGGCUUCCUCGGCCAGUAAAGCGAGAUGAGCGCCACAACCCCAGAGUCGGUCACGACUGGACCUAAUGGUCAGGGGUCCCUUUACCUUUACCUAACUGAAGCAGAUUAAAGUGCCCCAUCGCCCUAGCACAACAAAACCACUUAAUAACAACAGACUUUUGCAAGUUUGGAAAGUGUCAUGGAAAUGCAGUGAAAAUGGAUUCCAAGGGGUUUAGGCAGCAGCAGCUGAGCCUGAGUAAGGAAGGAGGCAGCAACUUGAAACGUAAGCUAGCAAAAUGGUGGUGAGCAGCCCUGCAAGUGGCUAAAGGCAGCAGCAAAUGUGUCAGGAUCACUUGUCUACCACCCUUUUGAUCUGCCACCUGAGGCAGGGAUCUCUACUUACCUAAUGGAAGAGCCGGUCCUGUAUAUCGUGAAAUAUUUAUUUUUGUGAUUUAUUUUUAAUAUUCUGUUAAGGUUUGGCUUGACUUGAGAGGAACACCUUGUUAUAUUAAUACAUCUUUAAAUAAUAAUAAUAAUAAUAAUAAUAAUAAUAAUAAUAAUAAUAAUUUAUUUAUACCCCGCCCAUCUGGCUGAGUUUCCCCAGCCACUCUGGGCGGCUCCCAAUCAAGUGUUAAAAACAGUACAUUCAUAUGUGCUUUAUUUCAGAUUAAGCAAACUGUCUGUUUGUUGAUGAGAUUGCCAUAUCUCUCAAGUUACAGUUUUGGGUGUGUUGUAUACCGAAAGGGCUGGGUGGGGUUGUACGUGUUUAAUUCUUGAUUUGAAAGUGUGAAAUUACAUGCAAUAGAUGGCUUCACAAGCUCAAAAUUUAAAAGCCUUUUUUACCCCCCUAAGAGGAUGUGGGUGGGAGGACAACUCCGGAAAGAUGAGGAAAUCUGUUAUUGACCUCUUUGAAGCAACACUAUUCUGAGAGUUCCCAACAUGGUUACUUUGGCAAACUAUGCCAUGAGACGACAUGUUAAUUGUGGGCACUCUGACUCUCAGAGGUGGGGGAACUGGCAAGAGAAGAAAGCGAAGUGCUUAAGGUAAGAGUUUGUAACAUUUCACAGAACCUCUGGGGGAAUACGGAACUCAAGAAUCAAUGGACCUCUGGUUGAAAUACCCUGCCCUAAACAAAGAACCAGAGAAUAGUGAAAGCAUUGCAGCCAUAGAUGGAGGUAUGGGACUUCAUUGUUUAGCAACAAGGUAAAGGUAAAGGGACCCAUGACCAUUAGGUCCAGUCGUGGCCGACUCUGGGGUUGCGGCACUCAUCUCGCUUUAUUGGCCGAGGGAGCCGGCGUACAGCUUCCGGGUCAUGUGGCCAGUAUGACUAAGCCGCUUCUGGCGAACCAGAGCAGCACACGGAAACGCCGUUUACCUUCCCGCCAGAGCAGUACCUAUUUAUCUACUUGCACUUUGACGUGCUUUCGAACUGCUAGGUUGGCAGGAGCAGGGACCGAGCAUCGGGAGCUCACCCCGUCGCGGGGAUUCGAACCGUCGACCUUCCAAUCGGCAAGUCCUUGCAUGAAAGUGGCCUCCCAAUUUUUCUCACAGGCCCAUAUAAGUUCAGCACAAACAGUUGGGCCUGGUGAGCAUUUAAGGUCCCCAACCCUAAUCUGUGGGUUGCCAUCCGAUUGGAUUUUAUUCUGAUCCUGAUCUGAUUUGAGGAUGUAUUUUAAUUGAUUGUCUGAUUUUAUGUUAAUGUAUUAUACAUUUGAUGUUAGCCACUCUGAGCCCGCCUUUGGCUGGGGAGGGUGGGAUAUAAAUAAAAUUUAUUAUUAUUAUUAUUAUUAUUAUUAUUAUUACUAGGCUCUGUGGUUUAACCCUCAGCGACACCCGCGUCCCAUAUUAUCACAGUACCUUUCUAUAAAGGAAACUCACCUGGUAAUGAGCAGAAAUGGCUUCAUUUUGACAGAGUUGGUAAACCUCUGUCUGGCAUGUACCAGUUCAAACUGUAGCGGGGCAGAAUCAGAUAAUUGAUUGUUCCUCCAGGCAAGCCCUCCCUGCACAUAGGAAACUAGCAAGUCAGGGAGAAGACAAGGCUAAAACUCGUUUCCACAAUACCUAGUUUUCAUGAUAGGUUAUGCAUUUUUUGACCACUUUCCCCAUCUGCAGUCUGAAGUGGUGUGGCCUUGAUACUGGUUAACCGCUGCAGUGAGACCUAAUUUUCAGACAAACUGGUGAUUCUUUCUCUCUUUUAAAACUGGAAUUUUCUGCUAGUUGUCCACUCAAUAUAUAAAAGCAUAUCGAGACAUUGACUUUGGUUUUGUCUUUUGAGGAUUCCAGAGUCUGCAAUUGUAAUGUGUUACAUUUGUUAAUACAAGAGUCACCCAGUAUCAUUGGCUACUGGACAAUGAAUGCUUUGCUUUAUAAACAAUUUCUCUCUUUCUCUUUAAGUUUACACAUCAGAAAUUUGAAACAGAAGAACUGAACUCUGCUGAGAGGCUUGCUUUGUCUUUUAUCUUCUGAAUCAUUGGUCAAGCUCACAAGGGUGUUCCAAAGUCUUUUUAAAAGCUAAUUGACUUAUAAGUG
Molecule: long non-coding RNA, 6494 nt
Filed under: Podarcis lilfordi (Lilford's wall lizard)
Lineage: Eukaryota; Metazoa; Chordata; Lepidosauria; Squamata; Lacertidae
Source: RNAcentral